This 1804-nucleotide small RNA is filed under the name Pongo abelii (Sumatran orangutan). Its description in RNAcentral is "processed transcript". Lineage: Eukaryota; Metazoa; Chordata; Mammalia; Primates; Hominidae. The record is from RNAcentral.
AUUCCAUUACAACCUUCAUAUUCUUCCACUCCACCUUACACACCUUAUAUUCCACCCUUGACACUCUUCCAGUCCACUACAUGUCCUUCCGUUUCUCUCUUCACAUCUUCCAUUUCACCCUAAGCAACCUCCCAUUUCACCCUUCACCCCUUCACCCAUUUCACCCUUCACCCCUUCACCCAUUUCACCCUUCACCAUUUCACCCAUUUCACCCUUAGUUCCACCCUUCACACCCCUCCAUGACGUCCUUCAAGCUCUUCCAUGCCACCCUUAACAUCCUCACAUUCCACUUUUCACUCUCUGGUCCUUCCAUGUCCUUCCAUUGUGCCUUUUGCAACCUUCCAUUCCAUUCUUCACAUUCUUUCACUCCACCUAAACCAUCUUCCAUUCCACCCUCCACACCUUUCAGUUUCACCCUUCAUAUACUUCCACCCAGCUUGGCGCAGUGGCUCAUGCCAGUAAUCCCAGCACUUUGGGAGGCCGAGGCAGGUGGAUCACUUGAGGUCAGGAAGUUCGAGACCAGCCUGGCCAAUGCGGUGAAACCCUGUCUCUACUACAAAUACAAAAAAUUAGCUGGGCGUGAUGGUGUGGGCCUGUAAUCCCAGCCACUCAGAGCCUGAGGCAGGAGAAUCGCUUGAACCUGGGAGGCAGAGGUUGCAGUGAGCCAAGACCACUCCACUGCACUCCAGCCUGGACAACAGAGCAAGACUCUGUCUCAAAAGAAAAAAGGAACUGCACCAUUUUACAUUCUCAACAUCACGGAUGAGGGUUCCAUCUUCUCCUUAUCCAGCCAACUGGAAGCCCUUUUAGCUGAGGUGGUUAAGCUGUGAGAACCAGAGUUUGCUGCUGCCAUUAUUCACUGCAUCAUUCAUUCGGCAAAAACCUGAGUACCUACCACUACCUAGUAGGCUCUGACCAUGCAAGAAGUCCCUGGCAACGCUGUAGGAUGGAGAGGAACAGUACCCUGGUUACAGUGUUUCAGCACCCUGGUCUUGGUUCACCCUGGGCCUUUCACUUGCAGGAGGCAGGGAGUUCUCUGAUGGCAGUUUGAGUUGGAUUUGCUGCAACUAACAAAGCCGGCCAGUGGACCCCUCCAAUCUACUGGGACUCAAAUAAAUCCAAGUGAUUGUUCUCCCUCCAUUCCAGGAGGGAACACCAGCCAGCCUUGGAACCUCAGGUGCAACAGAGACGCCAGGAGAUGCUAGUGCCCAGCAGCCUGUGGCAGUACCAAUGAAGCCAGAGAGGGCUUGAUGGAUGACAAGGAGGCCUGAGUAGACCCCAGACUUUGUUGUCGCUGCCCGGAGGAGUCGAGACUCGUACCCGGAGGAGCUGUCUCACCAGGAGACCACGCCCUGGAAGUGUCCGGGAUUCGCGGGACCUGUGGCUGCAGACCCCACCGGUUCGCAGGCCCAGAGCUGGCGCACUCCUCAGGAUGAGAUUCUGGAGGCCCUAGCCGGGGUCCACGGGAGGGCUGUCCUUGGGGACUCUAGGAUGGCUUCGUUCUGGCCCGGCGCACUUCUGGAGCUGUGAGACCCAAGACAAAAGGGGCUGAGGGAUUUCUCAUUGACAAGAGUUCGUGCGGGAAAACCACCUGACCCCUAGGGGUUUGUCAUCUUAGACUCAAAAGGCUUAAUACUAGAAACCACCUUGGCAAGAUAUUUACCCACCGGCCAUCUCUGUUUAUUCAUGAAUGUUAAAUGUCAAAACGCAGCGCUCUAACCCUGCAUAUUCUUUACUUGGAAAUGUCUGUAAUCUGUAAUUGUGAUGCCUCUGAUGGAAUAAAUUAUCUCUUUCAGUCUCCUCU